Molecule: ribosomal RNA, 526 nt
Filed under: uncultured Stachybotrys
Lineage: Eukaryota; Fungi; Ascomycota
Description: eukaryotic LSU rRNA
Rfam family: 5.8S ribosomal RNA (bases 142-295)
Source: RNAcentral
CCAAACCCCUAUGUGAACCUAUACCAAACGUUGCUUCGGCGGGAACGCCCCGGCUCAGCCCGGAACCAGGCGCCCGCCGAGGACCCCCAAACCCAUGUUUUCUUACAGUUUUUUCUGAGUGGCAAACGCAAAAUAAAUUAAAACUUUUAACAACGGAUCUCUUGGCUCUGGCAUCGAUGAAGAACGCAGCGAAAUGCGAUAAGUAAUGUGAAUUGCAGAAUUCAGUGAAUCAUCGAAUCUUUGAACGCACAUUGCGCCCGCCAGCAUUCUGGCGGGCAUGCCUGUCCGAGCGUCAUUUCAACCCUCAGGGUCCCUCCGCCUCGCGCGGUCGGAGCCUGGUGUUGGGGAUCGGCCCGCCCCGCGCGGCGCCGUCCCCCAAAUACAGUGGCGGUCCCGCCGCAGCCUCCCCUGCGCAGUAGUUAUCAACUCGCACUGGAGCGCGGCGCGGCCACGCCGUAAAACCCCCGACUUUCUGAACGUUGACCUCGGAUCAGGUAGGAAUACCCGCUGAACUUAAGCAUAUCAA